Molecule: long non-coding RNA, 485 nt
Organism: Xiphias gladius (swordfish)
Lineage: Eukaryota; Metazoa; Chordata; Actinopteri; Istiophoriformes; Xiphiidae
Exons: 3
Source: RefSeq, a predicted model, not a curated record
AUCCUGUCCAGCUUCAGGGCGAUGAAGAUGAACUGGAGGAUGUUAACUGAACACAACACCUCCAGCUGAGGAGAGGGAGGGACGAAGAGGACAAAAGCUCAGCACUGUGCUCAUACUCCACCAGCCACGAUCGGCAAGACACAGAAAUAUGGGAUCAGCGUGCUCCAACCGGACAAACCCAACUGAUGGAGGAAGAAAUAAAGGGUUGAGAGCUACUGUAACGGAAGCUAUUCAGAAGGGCCAUCCCUGACUGCAAAUACACAGAAUGACUAGUGCUGAAAAAAUUCAGACAUUUCUGCUGAUGGUGUUGAGGCUUUUGCAUUCGCCCCCUGACGGAGUUUCUACAUCAUUUCUUCGACUUUUAAUGUCCAUCUCUUCGACGGGAUCCGGAGUUUCUGAGAUUUCUGGGAGGCAGUGGCGUCUCUGGUUGUCCAGGUUUUAGUGGAGGUUGGUUCUGGAAAAACAGAAGAUUCGUAAUGACUCAC